Molecule: RNA transcript, 1862 nt
Organism: Hylaeus anthracinus
Lineage: Eukaryota; Metazoa; Arthropoda; Insecta; Hymenoptera; Colletidae
Exons: 3
Source: RefSeq, a predicted model, not a curated record
CAGCACUCGACUGGGAUUUGUAAUAGUUCUGAUCGGUCUCGUGUUUGUAAACGUUACACGAGAUCAAAGUCUGCGUUUCGUGGCCUCUACUAUCUAAUCAUCGACGCGAACUAUCAACGUUUUAUCGAGCGAUAUAUCAAAUCUUCGGCAACAGGUAAAAAUAUCUCGCGUUGAAUAACCUGAGAUCGUCUCUUCUGCAAUCCAACUAAUUACAUUUCAAUCUUACUUUUCGAUCUGUAUAUUUUGCCUUCUUCGUAACAAGCGCAAUUGAAAAAUUACCGAAUUAUCCCGUGCAGCUUCACAGUUCAAUUGUUCACGUUUAAACCAAUCAUGUCGAUGCGUUUAAGCUUAAGAGCGAGCAUAAGUGGUACAGGAUCGUUGCGUGAAGUUAACGCUCGGUCACGUGCACGCGUACGUGAGGAAUUUUCAAAAGCGAUUUCCUCGAUGGCCACAGCCACGGGGGUGGUAAAAUUUUAUUCCGCGUAUUCGAUUAUUCCUUCGCGGGGAACCAUCGUUCGUCUGGUAGUACUAGAUCUCGCUGGACACCCUGUAUUUUACGCUUUCGAUCAACCCAGCACUCGUAUCUGUCGGAUGCAGAACGUUACGUGGAUUCCAUCUGGACGCUCAGACGAGACAUUAUUCACCCUUCAUCUAUUUUUACCGUAGCCCGCGGCCGAAGAAUUAUCGAAACCGUGAAAAAAAAGGGGCUGCGCUAUAUUCCGCGCCAAUGGUACAAUCGUAAUCGCGCGACGGCCGGAAGUGCCUCAAUUUUCGAAACGAUACCGAGCUUUGUUCCUGUUUCCUGAUUACUCAGAGGAAUACACGAUAAGGGUAUGGUAUCGUUUUCACGGAUAUGCAGAUGUCUCGAUAAAUGCAAGAUGCACGGAAUAUUUCCUGACACAUUUGAAGGGCUUGAAAUGUUCGUCGAACCACCUGCAUCGUUAACGUGUACGUGCAAAUUUUCUGAGAACUAUUGUCAGAAUUAAUGCUUAACAUUGCAAAGAUAUAUAUAUAUAUGUACAGUCAAUCCCAUAAAUAUUCGUACCCUCUAUGUCUAUUGAAAAAGUUUGACUAAAUUAAAUUAUAAUUUUGAUAUUACCAAAUGAAUUGUACGCUAUAAAUAUGUAUAUGAACAAACUUAUAGAUGUAUAUAUUUAUAUAUAUCAACAUAUUUACGCAAACAUACACUUGGAAACAUCAAACCUACCAUUUAAUUUAAACAAAUUUCUCCAAUAGACAUAGAAAAAAUUAAUUUCUUUCUUUGAAAUGACAAAAUUUGGUCUUCAAUAUUAAUCGACGGUAAUUUGUCUCCAACUUCGCUGCCAUAGGAUUGCGUACGCCAGCUGUCCGCGCGUUAAUUGCACAGACACAGGGCUGUCCGUCGGGUUGUCACCGAUCUGAGAAUCGAACAGGGACAAACCGAACGACAGGUGGAUGAAAAUUAAACGCUGUUAUUUCCUGCUCGUUCGCCUUUGUACAGGAUGGCGGCGAGUAAAUCUCUUUCAGAACGUCCCAGGCUACUUCUUAGCAGGCUGCAGCCGAUGUCAAACACAUCCGUUGAAAAAGAUAUUGAUCUAUUGACAGCACAAAUACGUUCGAUUGGGACGCGAGGCUGGGCUCCCGUACCUGUCGAGAUUGCGAUUAUCACAAAGAGACUUAUGGAUUAUCGAUAACGGGUGAGAAUGAAAAGCGGAAACGACAGGGCCACCACAAAUGGACUCGAGUGGACCCCAUGGGAUUCACCGCGGGCGUCAGGGAGCCGGCAACAUCUAAACGAUCCGCAGACAGAAUCCAGAUCGGAGUCGGCCGAGCUUCACUGUCAAUCCGUUGGCCCUCGCGCUCCUCUGUAUUGGACUGGCAAC